This 462-nucleotide ribosomal RNA is filed under the name uncultured bacterium. RNAcentral's name for it is "partial 16S ribosomal RNA". It matches the Rfam family "Bacterial small subunit ribosomal RNA", at positions 337 to 794 of the family's 1533-position model. The record is from RNAcentral.
UCCUACGGGUGGCUGCAGUCGAGGAUCUUCGGCAAUGGGCGAAAGCCUGACCGAGCGACGCCGCGUGCGGGAUGAAGGCCCUCGGGUUGUAAACCGCUGUCGGAGGGGAGGAAAUGCUGGGGGGAUCACCUCCCAGCUUGACCUAUCCUCAGAGGAAGGACGGGCUAAGUUCGUGCCAGCAGCCGCGGUAAGACGAACCGUCCAAACGUUAUUCGGAAUCACUGGGCUUAAAGGGUGCGUAGGCGGCCCGGCAAGUUGGGGGUGAAAUCCCUCGGCUCAACCGAGGAAUUGCGCUCAAAACUGCUGGGCUCGAGGGAGAUAGAGGUGAGCGGAACUUAGGGUGGAGCGGUGAAAUGCGUUGAUAUCCUAAGGAACACCGGGGGCGAAAGCGGCUCACGGGGUCUCUUCUGACGCUGAGGCACGAAAGCUAGGGGAGCGAACGGGAUUAGAUCCCUUUGUAGU